This 253-nucleotide ribosomal RNA is filed under the name uncultured bacterium. RNAcentral's name for it is "partial 16S ribosomal RNA". It matches the Rfam family "Bacterial small subunit ribosomal RNA", at positions 524 to 776 of the family's 1533-position model. The record is from RNAcentral.
UACGUAGGGUGCAAGCGUUAAUCGGAAUUACUGGGCGUAAAGCGUGCGCAGGCGGCUAUGCAAGACAGAUGUGAAAUCCCCGGGCUCAACCUGGGAACUGCAUUUGUGACUGCAUGGCUAGAGUACGGUAGAGGGGGAUGGAAUUCCGCGUGUAGCAGUGAAAUGCGUAGAUAUGCGGAGGAACACCGAUGGCGAAGGCAAUCCCCUGGACCUGUACUGACGCUCAUGCACGAAAGCCAGGGGAGCAAACGGG